CCCUUAGAUGUCCUGGGCCGCACGCGCGCUACACUGUUCGACGCAGCGAGUCUUAACCUUGACCGAAAGGUUUGGGUAAUCUUCAGCAAAGUCGAACGUGAUGGGGAUCGAUCAUUGCAAUUAUUGAUCGUGAACGAGGAAUUCCUAGUAAGUGCAAGUCAUCAGCUUGCGCUGAUUACGUCCCUGCCCUUUGUACACACCGCCCGUCGCUACUACCGAUUGAAUGGUUUAGUGAGAUCUCUGGAUUGACGCUGGCUAGGGGGCGACCCUUGGCCAGACUGCUCGAGAAACUGCUCAAACUUGAUCAUUUAGAGGAAGUAAAAGUCGUAACA
Molecule: ribosomal RNA, 332 nt
Filed under: uncultured eukaryote
Lineage: Eukaryota
Description: partial 18S ribosomal RNA
Rfam family: Eukaryotic small subunit ribosomal RNA
Source: RNAcentral